CUUAACCUCCACAGAGGGCUAUUACAAGUUAUUUGGAUACAUCUACAGUCUACUGUGCAGCUGUUCAGGCUUCAAAAAUCAGAUUACCCUUUCCUUUUAAAACCUAGAGGAAUGUGAUCUUGAGCUGUGAGUCACCUUAUUGUGACGUACUGCUUUGGACUGUUUCUGCUUAUAGAAGAAGAUGUGAGCAUCAAACGGCAGUGCAGGGCACUGAGGGAUGAAGGAAAGCCUUCCAGGCGUGUCAUCCCAGGGGGAACCCAGCAGGGAUCAGGCAAGGGGCUGUGUCCCUGUGCCAGCAGGAAGUGGGAUGCUGGAUGCUGGAGGCAGGGUGCAGGAUGCGGGAUGUGGGUACAGGUGGAUGGACUCACCCUGAAGCUAGGCAUGCUUCUGCCCAAUGGCACACGGUGCAGCAUGGAAAGCAUGGAAGGUGAAAGCAUGCUGAAAAUGGUGCUGACCUGAACAAGAGAAAGGACCAAAGAUCACAGAAAAUCAACAAUGUCCGUGAGGUGACCGUGAGCCGAGACUUUGAAACCAGAGCUGGGAAUGCUGAGGUAUUUAGCAAAUGGGUUCCUCAUUCCCAGUCAAGAAUAGAGAGAUGUGCCAACUGGUGUCUUACUGUGACUUACUGCUACAGUGCUUCAUUUUUCCUGUCAGAUGGAGUCAUUCAGGAGCUGUGUGUGAUUCAGAGAGUAACCUGUACUUCAGUAGUAAACAUUUAUCUUCUGGGUUGGGCUUUUUAUUUGGCUGUUUGUCCUUAGACUUUCAAUGUAAGGUAUGGAUAUAAUGACCCAAUCCACUUUUCAGCGCAAAUCUGCAAAGUCAAUGCAUAAGCAGGAUGAGUGCAGCAAUUUUAGGCCCAUCUGCCUGACUAAUGGAAUGUAUCUGGAAAAGAUCUCUGCCUCGGUACACUUCCAAAGCGAGGCGGGGGUAUUCAUAUCCAUGAUUGCAACACUUCUCCCCACACUUUCUCUUGGAUGUACCUUGGACACCGCUGUCCCUGACCCACAGGCUCUGUCCAUAUGUCUUGGUGCCUUGAUGUUGUGUCUGCUUGGGUCUGACCACAUCCAGUAAAAAUUUUGGAGGCUAAACCCUUUUCACCUUGGUCCUCCUGGUUAUGCUUCACUUAUCUCCAUGAGAUUGCUGGGAACAAUCAUCAGGUGCAUUCGCAGGAUCCCUCUUCCCUGCACAUGAUGAAGAGAGUAGAAUGAAUGAGGAGAGCAAGAAAAUUGAUGUGCUGAGGAAAAGGCAGUUUAACAGGUGAAGGAAAGGGGCAGGGGGAGAAACACAAGUGAUGCAAAAGCAGUCACUCCCCAUCUCCCACAAGCAGAACCAUGCCUAGCCAGAUUCCAAACAACAGCCACCUUAGAAGUCUCAGACCUUUUCUUCUUUCCCAGAUAUUGAGCAUGAUGCCAUAUGGUAUGGAAUAUCAUUUUGGCCACUUGGGGUCAGCUCUGCUAUCCAUUACAGCUAUAUACUGGGAGAUGAGGAGACAAGAGGGAAGUCUGAAGCCUCAGGUAUUUCAUUGGUUACCAAAUGGCAAGAUGGAGCCAGAUCCACCCACAUAAAUAUUUA
Molecule: long non-coding RNA, 1572 nt
Organism: Phasianus colchicus (ring-necked pheasant)
Lineage: Eukaryota; Metazoa; Chordata; Aves; Galliformes; Phasianidae
Source: RefSeq, a predicted model, not a curated record